Molecule: ribosomal RNA, 486 nt
Filed under: uncultured bacterium
Lineage: Bacteria
Description: bacterial SSU rRNA
Rfam family: Bacterial small subunit ribosomal RNA
Source: RNAcentral
GAUGAACGCUAGCGGCAGGCUUAACACAUGCAAGUCGAGGGGUAUAGUUCUUCGGAAUUAGAGACCGGCGCACGGGUGCGUAACGCGUAUGCAAUCUACCUUUCACAGAGGGAUGGCCCCAGAGAAAUUUGGAUUAAUACCUCAUAGUAUAGCAGUUUCGCAUGAAACCACUAUUAAAGUCACAACGGUGAAAGAUGAGCAUGCGUCCCAUUAGCUAGUUGGUAAGGUAACGGCUUACCAAGGCAACGAUGGGUAGGGGUCCUGAGAGGGAGAUCCCCCCACACUGGUACUGAGACACGGACCAGACUCCUACGGGAGGCAGCAGUGAGGAAUAUUGGACAAUGGGCGCAAGCCUGAUCCAGCCAUGCCGCGUGCAGGAUGACGGUCCUAUGGAUUGUAAACUGACUUUUGUACGAGAAGAAACAACAUUACGUGUAAUGUCUUGACGGUAUCGUAAGAAUAAGGAUCGGCUAACUCCGUGCCAGC